This 506-nucleotide ribosomal RNA is filed under the name uncultured bacterium. RNAcentral's name for it is "partial 16S ribosomal RNA". It matches the Rfam family "Bacterial small subunit ribosomal RNA", at positions 29 to 523 of the family's 1533-position model. The record is from RNAcentral.
AUUGAACGCUGGCGGCAGGCCUAACACAUGCAAGUCGGACGGUAGCACAGAGGAGCUUGCUCCUCGGGUGACGAGUGGCGGACGGGUGAGUAAUGUCUGGGGAUCUGCCCGAUAGAGGGGGAUAACCACUGGAAACGGUGGCUAAUACCGCAUAACGUCGCAAGACCAAAGAGGGGGACCUUCGGGCCUCUCACUAUCGGAUGAACCCAGAUGGGAUUAGCUAGUAGGCGGGGUAACGGCCCACCUAGGCGACGAUCCCUAGCUGGUCUGAGAGGAUGACCAGCCACACUGGAACUGAGACACGGUCCAGACUCCUACGGGAGGCAGCAGUGGGGAAUAUUGCACAAUGGGCGCAAGCCUGAUGCAGCCAUGCCGCGUGUAUGAAGAAGGCCUUCGGGUUGUAAAGUACUUUCAGCGGGGAGGAAGGCGAUGUGGUUAAUAACCGCAUUGAUUGACGUUACCCGCAGAAGAAGCACCGGCUAACUCCGUGCCAGCCGCCGCCGUAA